AAAAACUAAAUAAUAAAUUAUGAUGUCUCCAUUGAUAUUUAAUUAAUACCUCCUCAUUUUUAAAUGAGUGUAAUUCAAAAUUGUGAUAAAUAUAUUAAAUAAUGAUGUUGUAGUAUGCCUUAAAACAUUAAGUGAAGAAAAAAAUAUUUUAAGAUUACAAAAACUAGAAAUUAGUUAGAAAGUCGACAAAGACGACAUAGCAGCAAGGGAGGUUGGUGGCGGUGUUGGCGUGAUGAUGCAGAGUGAGACUUG
RNAcentral lists this long non-coding RNA (252 nucleotides) under Lathyrus oleraceus (garden pea). RNAcentral describes it as "Pisum sativum (pea) long non-coding RNA (PSAT_LNC023917)". The record is from RNAcentral. Lineage: Eukaryota; Viridiplantae; Streptophyta; Magnoliopsida; Fabales; Fabaceae.